This 397-nucleotide ribosomal RNA is filed under the name uncultured bacterium. RNAcentral describes it as "partial 16S ribosomal RNA". It matches the Rfam family "Bacterial small subunit ribosomal RNA", at positions 523 to 918 of the family's 1533-position model. The record is from RNAcentral.
AUACGUAGGUGACAAGCGUUAUCCGGAUUUACUGGGCGUAAAGGGCGUGUAGGCGGUCUUGCAAGUCAGAAGUGAAAUUCCUGAGCCCAACUCGGGCGCUGCUUCUGAAACUGCAGGACUUGAGUGCUGGAGGGGAUAGCGGAAUUCCUAGUGGAGCGGUAAAAUGCGCAGAUAUUAAGAAGAACACCGGUGGCGAAGGCGACUUUCUGGCUGACAACUGACGCUGAGGCGCGAAAGCGUGGGGAGCGAACAGGAUUAGAUACCCUGGUAGUCCACGCUGUAAACGAUGAUUACUAGGUGUAGGGGGUAUCGACUCCCUCUGUGCCGCAGUUAACGCAGUAAGUAAUCCACCUGGGGAGUACGGUCGCAAGAUUAAAACUCAAAUGAAUUGACGGGG